AAUGAACGUUGGCGGCGUGGAUUAGGCAUGCAAGUCGAGCGAGAACCCGCAAGGGGGACGAGCGGCAAACGGGGUAGUAAUGUGUCGGAACGUGCCCUCUGGACGGGGAUAGCGGCGGGAAACUGCCGGUAAUACCCGAUGAACUCGAGAGAGCAAAGGUGUGAUUCCGCCGGAGGAGCGGCCGACAUGGUAUUAGCUAGUUGGCGGGGUAACGGCCCACCAAGGCUGUGAUGCCUAGGGGAUGUGAGAGCAUGAUCCCCACCAUUGGGACUGAGACACUGCCCAGACACCUACGGGUGGCUGCAGUCGAGAAUCUUCGUCAAUGGGCGAAAGCCUGAACGAGCGACGCCGCGUGCGGGAUGAAGGCCCUUGGGUUGUAAACCGCUGUCGAGGGGAGUGAAGGCUUGAAGGUACUCCUUCAAGUUUGACAGAGCCCUGGAGGAAGCACGGGCUAAGUUCGUGCCAGCAGCCGCGGUAAGGUGACGUCU
RNAcentral lists this ribosomal RNA (488 nucleotides) under uncultured bacterium. RNAcentral's name for it is "bacterial SSU rRNA". It matches the Rfam family "Bacterial small subunit ribosomal RNA", at positions 29 to 533 of the family's 1533-position model. The record is from RNAcentral.